GACGAACGCUGGCGGCGUGCUUAACACAUGCAAGUCGAACGGAAAGGCCCUGCUUUUGUGGGGUGCUCGAGUGGCGAACGGGUGAGUAACACGUGAGUAACCUGCCCUUGACUUUGGGAUAACUUCAGGAAACUGGGGCUAAUACCGGAUAGGAGCUCCUGCUGCAUGGUGGGGGUUGGAAAGUUUCGGCGGUUGGGGAUGGACUCGCGGCUUAUCAGCUUGUUGGUGGGGUAGUGGCUUACCAAGGCUUUGACGGGUAGCCGGCCUGAGAGGGUGACCGGCCACAUUGGGACUGAAAUACGGCCCAGCCUCCUACGGGAGGCAGCAGUGGGGAAUAUUGCACAAUGGGCGGAAGCCUGAUGCAGCAACGCCGCGUGCGGGAUGACGGCCUUCGGGUUGUAAACCGCUUUCGCCUGUGACGAAGCGUGAGUGACGGUAAUGGGUAAAGAAGCACCGGCUAACUACGUG
RNAcentral lists this ribosomal RNA (468 nucleotides) under uncultured bacterium. Its description in RNAcentral is "partial 16S ribosomal RNA". It matches the Rfam family "Bacterial small subunit ribosomal RNA", at positions 28 to 507 of the family's 1533-position model. The record is from RNAcentral.